RNAcentral lists this ribosomal RNA (468 nucleotides) under uncultured bacterium. RNAcentral describes it as "partial 16S ribosomal RNA". It matches the Rfam family "Bacterial small subunit ribosomal RNA", at positions 28 to 507 of the family's 1533-position model. The record is from RNAcentral.
GACGAACGCUGGCGGCGUGCUUAACACAUGCAAGUCGAACGGAAAGGCCCUGCUUUUGUUUGUUGCUCGAGUGGCGAACGGGGGAGUAACACGUGAGUAACCUGCCCUUGACUUUGGGAUAACUUCAGGAAACUGCGGCUAAUACCGGAUAUAAUCUCCUGCUGCAUGUGGUUGGUUGGAAAGUUUCGGCGGUUGGGGAUGGACUCGCGGCUUAUCAGCUUGUUGGUCUGGUAGUGGCUUACCAAGGGUUUGACGGGUAGCCGGCCUGAGAGGGUGACCGGCCACAUUGGGACUGAGAUACGGCCCAGACUCCUACGGGAGGCAGCAGUGGGGAAUAUUGCACAAUGGGCGGAAGCCUGAUGCAGCAACGCCGCGUGCGGGAUGACGGCCUUCGGGUUGUAAACCGAUUUCGCAUGUGACGAAGCGUGCGUGACGGUAAUGGGUAAAGAAGCACCGGCUAACUACGUG